AGCCUAAGGAAUUAAUCUUAGGUUAAACCUGCCCAAUGUAUUUAAUMAAUGAAUGGCCGCGGUACUUUAACCGUGCUAAGGUAGCGCAAUCAAUUGGCUUUUAACUGGAGUCAUGUAUGAAUGGAAUCACGUGGUUUAGCUGUCUCUUAAUUAAUCUAUUGAAAUUACUAUGUAAGUGAAAAAGCUUACUAUAAGAAAAAAGACGAGAAGACCCUUAGAGUUUUACUUAUUUAGAAUAUUUUUCUAAGCAGUUUUGUUGGGGCAACAAAGGAACAGUAAUAUAAUCUCCUUAAAUUUUUACUAACCGAUUAUAAUAAAUAUGAAUAAACUACCUUAGGGAUAACAGCAUAAUUUUAUAAAUAAGUUUGUGACCUCGAUGUUGGAUUAGGAAACUUAAAGGCUAGCCGCCUUUUAGGUAAGUUCUGUUCGAACUAUUAUUCCU
RNAcentral lists this ribosomal RNA (442 nucleotides) under Calycidoris guentheri. Its description in RNAcentral is "partial 16S ribosomal RNA". It matches the Rfam family "Bacterial large subunit ribosomal RNA", at positions 1828 to 2597 of the family's 2925-position model. Lineage: Eukaryota; Metazoa; Mollusca; Gastropoda; Nudibranchia; Onchidorididae. The record is from RNAcentral.